This 336-nucleotide unclassified non-coding RNA is filed under the name soil metagenome. RNAcentral describes it as "partial contains 5.8S ribosomal RNA, internal transcribed spacer 2, and large subunit ribosomal RNA". The stretch from base 1 to 120 matches the Rfam family "5.8S ribosomal RNA", at positions 35 to 154 of the family's 154-position model. The record is from RNAcentral.
GAUGAAGAACGCAGCGAAAUGCGAUAAGUAGUGUGAAUUGCAGAAUUCAGUGAAUCAUCGAAUCUUUGAACGCACAUUGCGCCCCUUGGUAUUCCAUGGGGCAUGCCUGUUCGAGCGUCAUUUGUACCUUCAAGCUUUGCUUGGUGUUGGGUGUUUGUCUCGCCUUUGCGUGUAGACUCGCCUUAAAAUAAUUGGCAGCCGGCGUAUUGAUUUCGGAGCGCAGUACAUCUCGCGCUUUGCACUCAUAACGACAGCGUCCAAAAGUACAUUUUACACUCUUGACCUCGGAUCAGGUAGGGAUACCCGCUGAACUUAAGCAGAUCAAUAAGCGGAGGA